AUAUGUUUAUCACAUUUUUCUAUUAAGAGAAAUUCCACUUAGAGUCAGUUCCUUUCCAAAGUUGAUUUUGUUGGCUCUCUCUCAUGGCAUUGCAUUUCUUCAAAUUUUACAGUUGUGAUUUGCAAGUUUUUUAAGUAGACUUUUUAGUUUGUUUCAUUCUUUGGUAGAUUGUAUUAAUGUUUCUAAUUCUUUACUCCUUCCCUUUUACAGAAUUAUAACUGGACAUCUGUUGCCAGGUGACUUUUCAGUGCCUUCCACUAUAGUAGAUGGAAUAUACUUCCCCACUCCAUUGAGCCCAUUUUUUGUUGGCUAACCUAUAGUUUUAAGAUUGUAAUUUUUUUAAAUCUAGUUACCUUGAUUGCUUUUUAGAGAGCUAUUAGUCCCAAUAACUUAGACCACCAUUAUUUAAAAAUGGAAUUCCUAACCACAAUGUAUGCACCUCAUCAUAGGAAGGAACACAAAUGGGGGAGUAGAAGAAAACAGAAAUGUAUUAAUAGGUGACAGUGAGUACUUCAGCUUUAUGUGUAAUGUUUUAUUUCUUGUAUUACAAAGUAAAAGAUAUGAAGCAUUUGACUAAAAAUGUUAAUUUAUAUAAUUUGAAUGAUGGGUACAUGGGCAGUUGUUAUAUUUAUAUAUACUUUUACGUAUUCUAAAUUUUUUUCUCAAAAAAGAGAAACAGUCAAGGGUUA
RNAcentral lists this long non-coding RNA (689 nucleotides) under Pan troglodytes (chimpanzee). RNAcentral's name for it is "lincRNA". The record is from RNAcentral. Lineage: Eukaryota; Metazoa; Chordata; Mammalia; Primates; Hominidae.